Molecule: unclassified non-coding RNA, 3339 nt
Filed under: Leishmania donovani
Lineage: Eukaryota; Euglenozoa; Kinetoplastea; Trypanosomatida; Trypanosomatidae
Description: gene:unknown
Source: RNAcentral
UAUUUUAUUCGAGAACUUAUGGGUGUGCUCUCGCGCCGCACGGAAGUGUGCCACGGUUGCUCUCUCUCUCUGCCACUAUUGUGCUGCACAUUGUUUUUCUCGUUUCGUUCCUGUUCUCGGUUUUUCUGCCACCUCUCCCUCCCUGCUGCUUCUUCUCCCUCUUCUCACAAGCGUUUUUCCUUUUUCGUUUUGCUCUGUGUGCUGCUGUCGUUGAUUUUGUGUGUGUGUGUGUGAUGUACGUUUUCUUUUUCCCGGUCGGCUUUUCACCUCCGCUCCUAACGUUUCACCACCUGACACUCUGCGCGCCCCAUCUCCACCAUGCGGUCUCAUUGUUUUUUUUUUUCCGCCAAGACAAGCACGCACACGCACACGCACCAUCUGUUGUUGUUUUAGUUACUUUGAAUGUACAUAUAUAAUUAUAUAUGUAUUCAAGGCCUCUCGCAACUAUGACGAGCGGGGCGUGACCCCUCGGCGCUUUCUUUUUCUUUUUUCACCUCGACUUGCUCCGCCACUCUCGUUGCCCGGCGUCUCGUUCGUGUUUUUCUCUGCAUUUCCGUGGGUUUUGUUAACGUUUCUCCCCCCCUUCCCCAUUUCGCACAUACACACGCACGACGUUCUUGCCUCUCUUUCUUUUCCCGGUCUCUCAUCUGGUGCUCUCACACCGGAAGCCCGACGUUGCUUCUUUUUUUUGUGCCUGUAGAGGGCCAUAGGAUUCCUCGUACCACUGCUUUCUUGCUCUUUGCUCUUUUUGUUUCUUGCUCUCCCUCUUAGACGUCACUCGGAACGCAGUGUCGGAAAACCCCUCUCACCCCCGUCAAGCUGCUGAGCUUGGAACACAACAGGAGACCCUGCUCGCCCAGUCCCGCACAGGCACCCCCUGCCCGCACUUCGGAUUCCUCCAACGGCGGGCGACUCGUCGUGGCAGCAUGGGAUGCACGUGGCGUGCUGCCCGCUGCUGCGCUUGCGCUUCCUUGCGCACCUCCCCGCCCGGCCAGAGCCUCCGCACCCGCCCAGCGAAGCACACCCCGCCGCACGCAACGACCUUGCACGCGGUCACCUCGACACGCACGUCUCGCACGCGCUGCACGGGCUGCCCCCGUCGAGGGCCUGUCGCUGCCCCCACCACACCCUCUGUGCCCCCACAGAACGGCAGGCUGUGAGCUCCCCGUGUGCGCACGCGCACGCGUGUCGGCGGGACCCCUCCGCCCCACGCGCACAGCAGCGGCCGACCCGUCGCGGCAACAUGCGGGCAAGCCGUCCAGGCACGCACCCCCCGGCAACAGUGCCGUUCUCGAACACGCCCCCUCCCCUCCCCCCCCACUCCACAAAAGCGCGAGCGCCGCCAUGCACAGCUGGCAUGCCGCAUCGCAUGCAGAGGGGCGUGGCGCGAAGAGAGCCCACAGUGCAUGUGCGCAAAACAUGCCGUAUCGGCUCCAGCCGACCAAAUGGGGGCUCGUGAGGCGCAGAUGCCGGAAGCAUCACCAGAGCAGCCUGCACUACAUCAUCCAGUCAUCCGGAGUCCACUGUGGAGGGUGGUGGCCGUCGUCGUCGUAGGGGGGAGGGGGGUCGCCACGCCGUAUGUGACGGGAUGCAGCGGCCUUCAGGAGACUGACGGGGAGAAGCACGGCAUGCAGGCAGACGUUGCAGGGUCUCACAGGGCCCUGGGCUGAGGCUGGGCAGCAUCCUACCUCGGCUCGUGCGGCAUGCGCCUAGGCCACCACCGGCAUGCUACCCCUGCCCCCCACCCUUUGGCAGACGCCACCGCCCUCGAGUAACGCCCGUGAGGGCGGUCCCGCCUACUUUGGUGCGCGCCAUGCGGCCCGGUGGGUGUGGCGCCGAUGGCGCAGGCAUGCCUGCGAGGGGGGAGGGACAGGCUGAGCCCGUUAUAGACGCGUGGCCGGAUGCAGCGGCCGGACGGCUCGUCCUAGAGGACGCGGAUGUGGCCGCCGUGCCGCAGGGGGUGGGUGAGGGGCGGCUGUGUGUGUACGUAUAUAUCGGGGUACGAGUUUGUGGUAGAUGGAGCACAUGGAGGAAAAGGUAAAAUCAUUGAAUGAGCAACGGGGGUAUAGGUGUCGAAUCUCUUAUUUUCUAUUUUUUUUGUAUGUCUUUCGCACGAAACGCCGAUUUUGUUGACAACCGCAUGUGUUGCGUUCGUCGUCCAUCUUUGAUGGUGUCGCAGCGGACCUGCGAGGCCGAUCCACGGGACUGCAGGAAUUUCGUCGGGUUACUGGUGCAUGUCGCACGCGUUUUUUUUUUCUUUCGGUUUCUCUUCGUCAGCCUCGUCUACCCUCUCGCGCUUUGUGUGCCGCACCGUCCAUCGGAUCUCGGUAUGUAGGCUGUAUUGCUGUACACCCCACACCAAGACCUACGUGAAGUGCAAGCAGAUCCGCAUCGCAGCGCUGUAUGUGUUUUUUUUUUUACUCUACCUCGUCAACAUGUCUGCUGUGAUCCGGAAAGCACGGCCCUGCUCUUUAUAUAUAUUUGUGUAGACCUGUUCACCUGAGUGAUGUAGACACCCAUGGUGGCCCGAAAGCAGCGCGGGUUUCCGGCACGCCUCCUCGACAGCGAGAGUCGCAUACGAGAGGAAAAGGAAGCAGAUGUCGUCGGCGCUUUCGGCUCGCUUUAGGCGUUUGCCCAGAGCGAUCUGCGUAUCGGUAUGCCGGCAUGAACGCGUACACACAGCGCGGAGCACGAUUCGGGGAUGGGCAGAGGCAGAGUAGGGCGAGCGGAGAGCAUCGGCGCGUAGGAUGCGAAGUUUUAACAAAACCCGCUUUGAGAUCGUUGAGAAAAGAUUAGCUAAAAAGCUCUACUCUUGAAACUUGCCCCGCCAGACAUUUCCGUUUUUUUUUUUUUCGCGCCCACAUGGGCUUACACAGAGAAGCAGGUACACCGACAUGUUCGUGCACAAUCUUAGCGCAGGCGUACCCAAAGGGGGAGAGAGAGACAGCAAACAGGGGACAAAAGGGAAUGGGCGACCCGAUAGAUGGGUAAGAAAAAGAGAGAAGGCAUAUCUGUUUGUGCUGCCUAAUAAAGAGGUGCUUGCGACUGCCCCCCGCCCCCAACAACGCUUCUGUUGGGCGUGUGCAGAUGACAACUGCGCACCUCUGCCUGGAAACGAGAGAGGGGAUACGCACUCUCUGCGUGUGUCUCAUGGGGCGAAUCUCUGGUAGUGUUUUUCGGACCUUUCUCUUCGCAGCUUUCAAACCGUGCACUUCCGCCCCGCCUGCGAGUUUUUUGCUCAGUGACCGUUGAUCUCCUUCUCCAGCUUCAUCGAGGCGCAUUUCCAUCACUACUUUGCUCCCUUUUUCGUUCGCUCCCGUGUCUUUGCGACGCGCGCAG